CUUUCACUUCAAGAGGAAACGGUGAUCCACAUCCCUCCUGAUAUUUUUUUUCAGAAGCGUUUGUUUUGUUUGUUUUGUUUUUUUAAGCUAUAGUGCUUCAUUAUUCCUUUCUUGUAGCAAGUUUUGUUUGCCUUUGGAUCUGGGAUUUGUCUGUGUCCAUCCUAGGAUUUGACUGUCAUUCCUCUGAUGUCUGAGAGCAACCCAACUAGAUAACGGGAGCUCUGAAAUUAAGACUUUGGCUUUCUAAACGGUCUCUCUAGAUUACAUCCUUGACCCCUGUAGACACAGCCAAAAAGAAACUGUUAAUAGCCAUCUGUCUAUGUGACUCUGUAUUCUAUUAAUGCACCCAUAGGUCUUUCAUAGGUUUGUGGUAAAGGAGGAUUAAAGGACAAGUUUUUACUUUCAGCAUCCUCAUGCAUUUCAGUGGGAACUGAACAAAUAAUUUGUCCAUCAUUAAUUAUGUGCCAAGCACUUCUAAUUUUUUUUUUUAAUUUUGUGUGUGUAUGUGUAUGUGUAUCACAGGUAAUAAAGGCAACUGGAUGACAUCUGUAGGAGGGAAAAAUAAUGACCAAUUGCUUCUUUUUGAAACCUGUCAUUGAUGCACAUUUAUCAUGUAAGAGGUUUGUCUUGAUUCCUAUUAUUAGUACCCAUUAGUACAUGGAUAUAUUUCUGAAUUUUUGUAAUUUUUGCCUUCACACCUGGGCAACAGAAUCAGCCAAUGUUUUCCUGUCUUAAUAGUUCAAAUUGAGUUUAAGUUUAACAUAAGUAAAAAUUCAUUUGGGGAGUUGAGUUAGGAGAAUUAUAAUUAUGAAUUUAAGCGGUGUUCUUCUAUACAUUAAUACAUGAGCAGACAUUUGAUCUGAACUACAACAUAGCUUUGUAAAACCUACUAGCAUGUCUUCAUUCUGUUCAAUAUCUCUUUAUACCACAUCAAAAUAUCAUCGUCUUAAUAAUAGAAGAUUCUGCAAAGGAUCAUAGGAAUUCAUGGGUCAAUAAGUUGAAGUGGGUGAAAAUAACCCCAAAAUCACAUUGGCCAAGUGAUCCUUAUCAUCCUAUUGGAAGUGCUGACAGAGGUUUGGGGGUCUAAAUAAAAUGACCAAAAUCCCAGCUUCCUUAAAUUUCAGACCUGAUUGUAAAGACACCAAAACAGAGACACGCUACUAGGAACUGAAGAACGAGUAAGAUGGCGGUCAACCCACUACUCCUAUUAUCUACUUUAAAUAGGAAAUUAAACACCGCAAAGAAAAUAUUCGUGGCAUUAUUUCUCUGUCCUUUGACCUGCCAUGAAUUUUUUUUUUCUUUUUAGGCAGUCUUUAUUCUCCUGGUGAACACAACAAGUAGUGGGAAAUCUAUCUAAUACAGUAAUAGAAUUUUUAAUCUGGGUCAACUCUAGACUGACACUCAUAUAAAAUAGUUCAAAUACCUGAAAUGACGAUGCAGUGUACAUUUGUGUUGUUGUUGGUAUGGAGAUGACAGCAGACCCGGUUAGUAAAAGGCUCUGCAGAGGCACUGGUCAGUGACAUCUUCAGUCCUGGUUUGAGGGGAGUUCAAGCGAGGUCUAUAUGGCCUGAAACACUGGACAUGAUUUCUGAGUAAAUGAGUUAUAAGACUCAAUGCUGUGGUGGCCCUGGGAGUCACUGUGAAUCAGAGCCCCAGCUUAAGGUGCCUACUGGCUGAUUCUGCAGUGCUAAACUCCAGUGCGGUUGGGGAGAUCAUUCUCUAUGGAACGUGGGUCUCCCGAAAUCGGAACCAUAUUUAUAAAGCCCUCCUACCCACUAUCAAAAACAGAGUGAUCUCUGUGCAGCAGGAAAGGGAGAGAUUGGAAAAUACCCCUGUUGGUCCACUGUGGUUCAUGUGUUCUUCCUUCCCCUGCUAAGAAAAAUAGGAUGCUGAGACAAGGCCGUACACCUACACAGUGAAGAAGUGGCUUCAAAGUGUGCAGUGAUGCUAACCUUUGUAAUAGUUAUCUUCCUAGAACUACAUGCAUGGUGGAUUGUAAUAAAAGGGGAAUAAUGCACACACCCUAAGUGUUCCCUUUCCUCUAUUCCUCCAUAGCUAUGUCUACCCCUAACUGAUUCAUUUGGGGGGGAGCACAUUUAUUAAAGGGGAGCAAACAUGGAAUUUUUCACUUUUCCAUUGGCCUUGUUUGAUUCCAGGGGCACCUUUACCAUAGGCACAGAUGUAAAUUGUUCUUUCUGAGUUCUCUUAGAUGCCACUGCUUGUGCUUCUGGAUGGCUUUUGCUUCUCUGGGCUUUCGAUUCCUCUCUGGUUAUCCUUGGUCUGUGCCAAGCAAACAUGCUUCAGUGAGCAAAAGAAAAGACAUAUAAGGUGUUUUGCAAAAUUACUUGACACCAGCUCCCCGAAAUGGGAACCAAAUUUUGAUUCUCGUAUAUUUUCCUUUGUUACAAUUCAACCUUCCAAGUGUGUAUUUAUGAUUGUGGCUUAACCUAGAGCACUUAAGUGCUGGUGUUUUCUGCCACUGGCUGUCAUACCAUGGGGUUUGACUCUUCUUGGUCUUCCAGAUGAUCUUUCCUAGACUUAAGACUCUGUGAACUUUUAGGAAGACUUCUUUGUCACCUUCACCGAACAUAGAAAUUUUCAAGGGGAAAAUGAAGGGAGUGAUUUUUCUUCCAAUGACUUUGUGGCAGGCAAAUGUUUCUGCCAAUUCGCAUGCUGGGUUAUAGGUUUAGCAUGGGCUGUUUCUCUCUUAAUGUCUUGGUAUUGUUGGCAUCUUGAAUCGUGAUGACCCACUGUUCCAAUGUAUUUAUUUUCUUUUAUAUUGUCAAAAUAACACACUCGAAAAGGAAUCAGAGUGAGCAUUCUGUAUGCUGAGUUACAAUGGAGCUAGAUGUCAUUUGUACAGGACUGUACAGUGAUUAAUAUCUGCAGAGAAAUUGGACCAAAUGAGACCUGCUGAAAUAGGUUUGAUUUAUAUUGCCUUCAUCAUCCCGAUUUUGGAUGAAAUGGUUAUUGCUCUCCACCCCUGCUGAAAGAAAAGAGUGUUAAACUUUAAUAAUCACAGCAUUGUGAUAAAAGCACAAAGCUUAUUUGUUCAAAAUGUUUGUUUUUCUCAUCUCGGCACAUACAUUGGAAUGGAGAUUCUUCCGUCAUGGACCUCCAUUGAAAAUUUUUUUUUGGGCAGUGUUUCCGGUACUCAGCAUGCGUAAAAUCAUCGGUAGCACUUAUAAAAAUGCAGAUUCCUUCACCCUAACCCCAGAGAGUCUGAUUCAGAAACUUCAAAGAGGGCUAAGGAAUCUGCAUUUCAGGCUAUCAUCCUUAAUGGUUUUGACGGGAUGGUCUGUGGACCUUCCUUUGAGAAACUCUGCUGUUCAGGACUAUGCAGAGGUCAAAGUAUCUCUCGCUUCCUAGUGGCACCUCCUCUCACUCUCUUUCCUCUACAAAUAAGUCAAAGCAUGCAUAAUUCAUUAUCUCCAGGAAAAAGACCCAAAGAAGGACACCCUAGGACUAGGGCAGAGUAGAUUUCCAUAAUUUCUUUGCCCUUUGUAUAUAUGUGUACUUCCCCCCCGCCCCAGACUGAAAGCCUGCAGCAGAGCAGUUCUGUGACUGGGUAGAUGGGAAUACAUCUCUGAGUAGGAUGUGUCCUAAUGAUACCCAACAGGGAGCAGAAAUGAUGACCUUUCUGAAAGUUGUUUAUUUCUGGGCCCUUAUGCACUUUGAGUCCCAGGAACCUGAGAGUGAUCCAUAAUUUAAUGAUGUGUAUGGCCCCAAGGAGAUUCAGAUAUAACCGCACAUACGAAUCACCAAAAUGAAUAUAGACUGCUUAGUAAAUUUAGCUGUAUUUCACGAAGAAAAUCCUGAGUCAUCGAACUGCUAAAUUUGUCCAGUUUGAUUCAGGCAGGACUAGGAAACCCAGGUAAAGGCCCUGAACCCCAGGCAUUCCCUGGUGAUCUAGUGGUUAGGAUUCGGCACGUUCACUGCUGCAGCCCAGGUUCCAUCCCUGGCCUGGGAACUGAGAUCCCAUGUCACAUUCCUGCACGUCACAGCAAAAAAAGACCAUGAACCCCAAUGUUCACUAACAAUUCAAAGCAAAACCCGUGAAGGAGAAUACAUUUUAAAAUGAGUGAAUUCAAACCAGUGGUCAGAUUCUGUGUGUGAUGUCAUGCAGUUCUCUAAUUUUCCAGUUGCUUUACCUGGGAGAGAUGGCCGUCCUUGCAUCAUGCAGAAAGAAAAGACAUUUGGAAGUCUUCAGUGACUCCGUUGGUCCCUUCUAUAGAACAGAGUAACUGCAGAGGUACCAAAUUCCCAUAUGCUAUGAGAAAUAGAGAAUGAAUGGCUUAAAUUCAUGCUUGUCGUGAUGGUGAGUUAAUAGUUAACUAAAGGCUACAACCAAAGAGAGUGAAGACCAGGCAGUGACACUAAUGCACUUCAGCCACUAAUUAAGAAUAUCUGCCCAACAAUUUUUUCUAAAAAAGUGUUAAACCCUAUUCCGUUUCCUUUCUCUUCUUUACUUCCCAGGUGGGAUCCCUUUAUUUCCCACCUUCCUAACCUUUACAAAAUGUUCUUGUCUGUGAACACAUUUCGUUGUUUAUUGGUUAAAGAAUGUUUAGUUCCUAGACUGUCAUCCUUGCUUUAUUUUGAGAAUUUGGCUUGAAAAACUUUUUUAAAAAAAAUGUGUCCCAGUCCAGUGACUAUCAAAGGGUUUUCCCUGGGGGUGGGGGGAGGAGAUUUUUCUGCGACGCAGCCUUCUAAAAGCACUUAGAAAGAUUGUGCCAACCAGAGGCUUUAGUCAGUCUCCUCUCUCAGCGAGCUCUUCCACCUUGUCAGUUUAUUCUUAGAAUCGUCGACCUUUAGCUGAUUUACCUGCAUUUGCACACGGAAAAUCAGCACAUCUUCAGACUCUCUUGCUACUGAUGUUGGCUCCAUCCAUCACAGAUGGAAGAGGAUUGAUGCCCAACUAAACAGUGCAGGGGAGUGGCUUUACAGUUGUGUCUGUUUGGGUGUGUGUGUGUGUAUGUGCACAUGCACACAUGCAAUUUCUAGGUUGGUGGUGGGUCCGUGGCUCGUGUCCCUCAUCAUGCUCUCCAAGUGCAGGGAAGAAGUCUGUGGUUGCAAAGUUUACCAGUUUUACCUCAGUGCAGUAGUAGGUCUUUAUUUUGGGGUGUCAGCACUUGAGAAUAUUGAGUAAAGCUGGUCUCCUGAUGGAAAAUUCAAACAUUACAGGUUUCUAGAUAAAAAUCAAACCCCUUUUCAUUUAUAUAGCCACUUGUGGCAUCUUAGU
This 5239-nucleotide transfer RNA is filed under the name Sus scrofa (pig). Its description in RNAcentral is "lncRNA (ENSSSCG00025045503.1)". Lineage: Eukaryota; Metazoa; Chordata; Mammalia; Artiodactyla; Suidae. The record is from RNAcentral.